CAAGGAACUAAGAGUUUAUGGGGGAUACCUUGGCAUUCAGAAGCGAUGAAGGACGUGGUUACCGACGAUAUGCUUCGGGGAGCUGGAAACAAGCUAUGAUCCGGAGGUUUCCGAAUGAGGCAACUUUUUAACUACUUAUUGAAUUCAUAGAUAAGAAAGAGCAAACCUAGAGAAUUGAAACAUCUUAGUACCUAGAGGAAAAGAAAGUAAAAACGAUUCCCUGAGUAGCGGCGAGCGAAACGGGAUUAGCCUAAACUUAAUUAUAAAUUAAGGGUAGUGGGACAAUAAUAAAGAAUUUAAUGGAACGAUUAGAGGAAUAAGUUUGGAAUACUUAACCAUAGAGAGUGAUAGUCUCGUACUCGAAAAUUGAACCAAUUCAAUUGUAUCCCAAGUAGCAUGGAGCACGUGAAAUUCCGUGUGAAUCUGCGAGGACCACCUCGUAAGGCUAAAUAUUCCUGAAUGACCGAUAGUGAAACAGUACCGUGAGGGAAAGGUGAAAAGAACCCCGGGAGGGGAGUGAAAAGAACAUGAAACCAUAAACUUACAAGCAGUAGGAGGACGACUUAACGUCUGACUGCGUGCCUGUUGAAGAAUGAGCCGGCGACUUAUAGUUAGUGGCAGGUUAAAGUAGUGAAUACUGAAGCCAUAGUGAAAGCGAGCCUGAAUAGGGCGUUUGUCACUAGUUAUAGACCCGAACCCGGAUGAUCUAACCAUGGUCAGGUUGAAGCUCAGGUAAUACUGAGUGGAGGACCGAACCGACUGAUGUUGAAAAAUCAGCGGAUGAAUUGUGGUUAGGGGUGAAAUGCCAAUCGAAUUCGGAGCUAGCUGGUUCUCCCCGAAAUGCGUUUUGGCGCAGCGGUAAAUGUUAUAAUCUAGGGGUAAAGCACUGUUACGUAUGCGGGCUGGUAAUUCGGUACCAAAUCGUUGCAAACUAAGAAUACUAGAUGUAUAGUUUACCAGUAAGACUGUGGGGGAUAAGCUCCAUUGUCAAGAGGGAAACAGCCCAGAGCACCAGUUAAGGCCCUUAAAUAAUUACUAAGUGGUAAAGGAGGUGGGAGUGCAUAGACAAUCAGGAGGUUUGCUUAGAAGCAGCAAUCCUUUAAAGAGUGCGUAAUAGCUCACUGAUCGAGUAAACCUGCGCCGAAAAUGUAUGGGACUAAGUAAUUUGCCGAAACUGUGCGAUAUAUAUUUAUAUAUCGGUAGGGGAGCGUUCUGUUGUAGGUCGAAGUAUUAGCGUAAGCGGAUAUGGACGAAGCAGAAGUGAGAAUGUCGGCUUGAGUAACGAAAAUAUAGGUGAGAAUCCUAUACCCCGAAAACCCAAGGUUUCCUCCGGAAGGCUCGUCCGCGGAGGGUAAGUCAGGACCUAAGGCGAGGCUGAAAAGCGUAGUCGAUGGACAACGGGUUAAUAUUCCCGUACCAUUUUUUAUUGAUAUCGAGGGACGGAGAAGGCUAAGCUAGCCGGAUAUUGGUUUUACCGGUUUAAACGUUCGAGAUGUUGAGAAGCGGUGAAAACGCUUUGAGUUGAGACGUGAAUACGAGACACUAAGGUGUUGAAGUAGUGUAUGUCAUACUUCCAAGAAAAGCUUGCACUGUCAUAAAUAAAGAAUGCCUGUACCAUAACCGACACAGGUGGGUAGGUAGAGUAUACUAAGGGGCGCGAGAUAACUCUCUCUAAGGAACUCGGCAAAAUAACUCCGUAACUUCGGGAGAAGGAGUGCCUUAUUUAUAAGGUUGCAAUAACAAGAUCCAAGCAACUGUUUAUCAAAAACACAGGUCUCCGCUAAGUCGUAAGACGAUGUAUGGGGGCUGACGCCUGCCCAGUGCCAGAAGGUUAAAGAAGUUGGUUAGCAAUUGCGAAGCUGGUAACUGAAGCCCUGGUGAACGGCGGCCGUAACAAUAACGGUCCUAAGGUAGCGAAAUUCCUUGUCGGGUAAGUUCCGACCUGCACGAAUGGCGUAACGACUUCCCUGCUGUCUCAACCACAGGCCCGGUGAAAUUGCAGUACGAGUAAAGAUGCUCGUUACGCGCGGCAGGACGAAAAGACCCCGGGACCUUCACUAUAGCUUGGUAUUGGUGUUUGAUUCGGUUUGUGUAGGAUAGGUGGGAGACGUUGAUGCGGCCACGCUAGUGGUGGUGGAGUCGUUGGUGAAAUACCACUCUGAUUGUUCUGGUUAUCUCACUGUGGACCGUGAUCCGGUUCAAGGACAGUGCCUGAUGGGUAGUUUGACUGGGGCGGU
RNAcentral lists this ribosomal RNA (2237 nucleotides) under Thalassiosira gravida. Its description in RNAcentral is "partial Bacterial large subunit ribosomal RNA". It matches the Rfam family "Bacterial large subunit ribosomal RNA", at positions 1 to 2283 of the family's 2925-position model. The record is from RNAcentral. Lineage: Eukaryota; Bacillariophyta; Thalassiosirophyceae; Thalassiosirales; Thalassiosiraceae.